AAACUAAUUUAAUAUGGCGGCAUUUCAUCUAAUUAGAGGAAUUUGUUUUCUAAUCGACACCACACGUUAAAUCUCACUUUAAUUUUAAAAUUUAUAUACCGCCAUCUUAAGAAUUAAUUAUAAAAUAUACUCCUAAAAAUAAAUAAAAAGUUAGGUCAAGGUGUAAUUUACAUUAAAGAAUUAAAUGAAUUACAUUAAAUAUAAUUUAAAGAUUAUAAGUAUAUAACUUAUAUAAAUAAGAAUUUAAAAGUAAUACACUAAUAAUAUUACAAUAUGAUUUAGAUAAUAAAUGUGUACACAUCGCCC
RNAcentral lists this ribosomal RNA (306 nucleotides) under Papiliocoelotes yezhouensis. Its description in RNAcentral is "partial 12S ribosomal RNA". The record is from RNAcentral. Lineage: Eukaryota; Metazoa; Arthropoda; Arachnida; Araneae; Agelenidae.